Molecule: transfer RNA, 73 nt
Filed under: Bos taurus (domestic cattle)
Lineage: Eukaryota; Metazoa; Chordata; Mammalia; Artiodactyla; Bovidae
Also listed under: 3 other names
Rfam family: tRNA
About the family: Transfer RNA (tRNA) molecules are approximately 80 nucleotides in length. Their secondary structure includes four short double-helical elements and three loops (D, anti-codon, and T loops).
Source: Rfam by way of RNAcentral
UCCCUGGUGGUCUAGUGGCUAAGACUCCACGCUCCCAAUGCAGGGGGCUCAGGUUCGAUCCCUGGUUGGGGAA